AACGUAGGACGCAAGCGUUAUCCGGAGUUACUGGGCGUAAAGGGCAGGCAGGCAGGUCGAUAAGUCGGAUGUGAAAUCUCCCUGGCUUAACCGGGAGAGUGCAUUUGAGACUGUCAACCUGGAGGGCAGCAGAGGAGCGUGGAAUUCCGGGUGGAGUGGUGAAAUGCGUAGAGAUCCGGAGGAACACCAGAGGCGAAAGCGGCGCUCUGGGCUGCACCUGACGCUGAACUGCGAAAGCCAGGGGAGCGAGCGGG
RNAcentral lists this ribosomal RNA (254 nucleotides) under uncultured bacterium. RNAcentral's name for it is "partial 16S ribosomal RNA". It matches the Rfam family "Bacterial small subunit ribosomal RNA", at positions 524 to 776 of the family's 1533-position model. The record is from RNAcentral.